ACGAACGCUGGUCUCCGUGCUUAAACAUGCAAGUCGAACGGUAAGGCCCCUUUGGGGGUACACGAGUUGCCCCCGGGUGAGUAACACGUGGGUGACCUGCCCCUCACUUUGGGAUAAGCCUGGGAAACUGGGUCUAAUACCGGAUAGGACCGCAUGUUGCAUGGUGUGUGGUGGAAAGGUUUUUCGGUGGGGGAUGGGCCCGCGGCCUAUCAGCUUGUUGGUGGGGUGAUGGCCUACCAAGGCUUCGACGGGUAGCCGGCCUGAGAGGGCGUCCGGCCACACUGGGACUGAGACACGGCCCAGACUCCUACGGGAGGCAGCAGUGGG
Molecule: ribosomal RNA, 327 nt
Filed under: uncultured Actinomycetes bacterium
Lineage: Bacteria; Bacillati; Actinomycetota; Actinomycetes
Description: bacterial SSU rRNA
Rfam family: Bacterial small subunit ribosomal RNA
Source: RNAcentral